This is a non-coding RNA of Caenorhabditis elegans, 136 nucleotides long. The record is from Ensembl. Lineage: Eukaryota; Metazoa; Nematoda; Chromadorea; Rhabditida; Rhabditidae.
UCGGCUUGUUGCAAGACAUCCCCAUAUAACGUAUUCUGUGUGCAAGUGAGUGCUCAUGUCCUCUUCGUUUCUUCCGGGGCACCCGAGGAGAAGAAGAAGAAGCAGAAGGGUCUGAAGAAAAGAAGGAAAAGAAAAA